RNAcentral lists this ribosomal RNA (501 nucleotides) under uncultured bacterium. RNAcentral's name for it is "partial 16S ribosomal RNA". It matches the Rfam family "Bacterial small subunit ribosomal RNA", at positions 29 to 523 of the family's 1533-position model. The record is from RNAcentral.
AUUGAACGCUGGCGGCAUGCCUUACACAUGCAUGUCGAACGGCAGCACGGGCGCUUGCACCUGGUGGCGAGUGGCGAACGGGUGAGUAAUACAUCGGAACGUACCUUAUCGUGGGGGAUAACGCAGCGAAAGCUGUGCUAAUACCGCAUACGCCCUGAGGGGGAAAGCGGGGGAUCGAAAGACCUCGCGCGAUUAGAGCGGCCGAUGCCUGAUUAGCUUGUUGGUGGGGUAAAAGCCCACCAAGGCGACGAGCAGUAGCUGGUCUGAGAGGACGAUCGGCCACACGGGGACUUAGACACGGCCCAGACUCUUACGGGAGACAGCAGUGGGGAAUUUUUGACAAUGGGGGAGACCCGGAUCCAGCAAUGCCGCGUGAGUGAAGAAGGCCUUCGGGUUGUAAAGCUCUUUUGUCAGGGAAGAAACACCGGCUCUAACACAGUCCGGGAAUGACGGUACCUGAAGAAUAAGCACCGGCUAACUACGUGCCAGCCGCCGCCGUAA